RNAcentral lists this microRNA precursor (65 nucleotides) under Trypanosoma vivax Y486. Lineage: Eukaryota; Euglenozoa; Kinetoplastea; Trypanosomatida; Trypanosomatidae. The record is from RNAcentral.
AAGAGAGAGAGAAAGAAAGAAAGAAAGAAACACAUUUUCUUUCUUUCUUUCUUUCUUUCUUUCUU